This is a long non-coding RNA of Hipposideros armiger (great roundleaf bat), 379 nucleotides long. RefSeq lists it as uncharacterized. Lineage: Eukaryota; Metazoa; Chordata; Mammalia; Chiroptera; Hipposideridae. The record is from RefSeq and is a predicted model, not a curated record. The transcript is spliced from 4 exons.
CCUUGGGUCACCCGCAGCUGCAGCUCCACGGCUGUCACACGGAGGAGGACAGCAGACAAGGCGGUGCCCUGCAGCCUGGGGAAAGGACGCACAAGACAGGCCUGGAGGAAAGCCCGGCCUGGGCUCAGCGGACACCUUCUAAUCACUCCCUGGUCACACGGAUGAGACGAGGACCCUACAGAAUGAAUUCCUGCAGAGGAGAGCGGCUGGGUCCCUCUUGUCAUAGCCUGCGGAGCACAGGGCAGCGCCACCCCCCACACCUGUGUCCUGCCUCCUCUGAUGACAGCGCUGGGCUCAGACAAGAAGAUGGCUGUCUGCAAACGAGGAAGAGGCCCAAAGCUGCCAGCACCUUGACCUUGGACACCCAGCCUCCAGAACU